Non-coding RNA from Peromyscus maniculatus bairdii (prairie deer mouse), 671 nucleotides. NCBI's taxonomy places the organism in Eukaryota, Metazoa, Chordata, Mammalia, Rodentia, Cricetidae. The record is from RefSeq and is a predicted model, not a curated record.
ACACGAAGAAGGCAGCAGAGAUGCCAGCCAGCCGCCCAAGGAGCAACAUGUAAUGGGACUCAGUCAUGAAGAUUUCCAUCUUCCAGUUUGGAUUUCUGUGUGUGUGCUGGACUCCAUGAGUGGUGAAUGAUGGUAUCAGUGGUUCCCAUGGACCUUGGCCCUCCAAAUCACUCUAAAGAUACUCCCCAACUUUUAAGCAGGGUAAGAAGAGGAAAGAAUCAGAAAGAUGACAUGCAGAGGAAGCACAGAAAAAACAGAGUCAAUUCUGGAGAGAAAGCAAGCCAUGCAUUGUGAUGAGCCCAGUGUCAUGUGUACCGCCUUCACGUUUCCAAUGCACACAGCCAUGGAAAGUAUUGUAAGAAGACAGUCUUAACUUAUUCUAGCCCUAUAUUAUUUAAGAUAGGAGACCUUCUCAUCAGGAAUACCCAUAUUCAUAUUGCUUCCCUUGAUUUCUGUCUCUGUGUGGCCUUGCAUAGUUAAGUACAGUAAAGGGAGAGCAAAUAAAACAAAUGAAAGUAACCGGCUAAUGUGUGCAGGACCUCAGCACACUGGAAGAGUGUUGUGUGAAAGACGGCAUUGGAGCUGGGGACUGGGCAAGGCACUCGGACUGGACUGCAGCUGGCAGAACCACCAUCCUUGAACAGAGGUCAGGAGAGGAUAACAGGAGAUAG